RNAcentral lists this long non-coding RNA (1032 nucleotides) under Felis catus (domestic cat). Its description in RNAcentral is "lncRNA (ENSFCAG00000051555.1, ENSFCTG00005010150.1)". The record is from RNAcentral. Lineage: Eukaryota; Metazoa; Chordata; Mammalia; Carnivora; Felidae.
GGGCACUCUGGUGGGCAGCAGGGGGUACACCAGCCAGCACAUCUGUCUCUCCAGUUCUGGUCGGGACUGGAAGGUCUUUGCACGCCACAGUGUCAGCAUGGCGGCUUUAAUGCCUGUGUGUCCGGUGGCACCCCUCCCACUGAGGUGGGAGUGAGGUCGCUGUCCCCUUCCCCAGAACCCAGCCCACCUCGAGGGCUGGAGUCCGUUCUUCCUGACCCAACGCGCACCCAGUGCUACCACCUUGUGCCUCUGCGCCGACACACUAGCCCACGGCGGCUGCCCCGGGGGCCCGGUCAGCCGUCGCCACCGUCACCGCCAUCGCAGCCUGGCCACGGCCCACAUCCCCAAACCCCUGAAAUCAGGACGUGCUCUGGCUCUCCGAAGACGCGAGUCUCGGGCCCGUUUGUCCCACAGCCACGGCCUCCGUGGACACCCCGUGCCCCCUCCUGCCUGGACCCGGAGACCGGGCGCUCCCCUGGACGCUGGUGGCCGUGGCCACUUCGUGCCCCCCUGCUGUCCCGCUCCCCCGCGCAGCCGACGGCCGGCACCUCUUUGCCGCGAGCCCUUCAAUUCUCCCUGCUUCCAAAGGCGUGGCUGGUGCCCCGGCGGCUCGCGAGGUUAAAACAAAAUCGAGAAAAUCGGGCAACUCGAGUACAAAUGUGGGGAAGCAAAACAAACACGCGAGGAGCCUGAAGGGCAGUGGACGGACGUUGGGGCCGAGUUAACAUUUAACUGAUGUCUCAGCAGCUAAGGAGUCUUUAAAGUGCCGGCUGGUAAUUAAAAGAAAAAAGGAAAGAAAAGGCAGGGCUGUUCUCCAGGAGAGACAAGGUAUUUUCCUGGCACUUGCAUCCAGGAAAAUUAAGUAUUUGAACAUCAGGCACAGGAAAGAACGUAGCAUCUAAUGGUUCCCACAGCGCUGCUAUUUUAAAGAAGCAAGUCCUUUUCACGUGGUAGCUUUCAGUGCCCUUGCGUGAGCGAGCCUUGGGCAGGAUGGGCUGUCUUCCUCUGGGGCCCGUAUCUGCUGGCAGCCGG